GAACGCCAGUCUCUCGGAAUCAGGUUGCUCAGAUUGGUUGUUUUUCCGCCAACACAAAACGGUGCCUCCAUCUUUACCCACAGAAAUAGUUCCAAAGGAAAAGGAGCAGAAUUUCGCCAGUGCUUGCGGUCCACCCAAGUAACGCCACAUUCUGAUAUUCCGAAUAUUUCAAGUAGAGAGUUUGCCCGCACUGCCCCGGAGCUGGACGUGGGAUUGUGGGACGCAGACCACUGGGAAAGGGCAGAGGACGCGCAGGUGAGGACGCGUGCCCGGCUUGUUUACGUCACCAAGGAACAACCCCACGCCGUGGUUCGGCAGGAGGAUAUUACCAGCCCCUCGGUACAGUCACCCAGGGUCCCUGACCUGAGCGGCUUCCUGCUAAUCUUCUUCCCUGCCUGGCACGACGGCAGCGUUUGGUCGCUUGUCUCCUCCUGGGGCACACGCCUCUCGAUCGCCUUCUCACAGGACACCCGGAGGCCCCCAACCCGGGGCUUCCAUCCCAGGUCUUCCUGCCCUGGCCUCGCUUCCAGCUGCCUCACAACGAUUCCUCGGAAACUCCCUGAGCGAACAUCAAUUCACCGUGCAACUGCUCCCGCUCAGGCGUCUCGGUUCUGCUGGAAACAUGUGCUUUAUUACUCCUCGGCCUGCCCGUCCCACACCGCGGGUUCGCGCUGGCAGCCCUGUUGAGCCCAGUGGCAUGAUUCACUCCCGUUUGUUUAAUUAGUUAAAUCAAAUUAAAAUGUGUUCGAGGCUGGGCUAGAGUGUGUUCAGUUGUGUGUAUUUCAAUUUACACCCAUGCACCCAGCGCUGAGACCCAGAGGCACAGUUUAAAAAUUAAAAGUUUUCCAAGCCAUGCUGACAACAGUCACC
RNAcentral lists this long non-coding RNA (870 nucleotides) under Chinchilla lanigera (long-tailed chinchilla). Its description in RNAcentral is "lncRNA (ENSCLAG00000027132.1)". Lineage: Eukaryota; Metazoa; Chordata; Mammalia; Rodentia; Chinchillidae. The record is from RNAcentral.